Labrus bergylta (ballan wrasse) is the source of this 2325-nucleotide long non-coding RNA. RefSeq lists it as uncharacterized. The record is from RefSeq and is a predicted model, not a curated record. Lineage: Eukaryota; Metazoa; Chordata; Actinopteri; Labriformes; Labridae.
GAUGGAGGUGGAUAAUCUUAUUCAGGAAGUUGUUUAGUCCCUGGCAAGAAGUUGGCAAGACCACAGAUUUUCAGACUUUGGGGAAAAUAUAAAAAAUAUUUAACCGGAGGUACACUCUAUGAUUUCAGCCUGAUUUAGACCUGAUUUUUGAGUCUUUAUGUCGACCAGGCGGAUGAUUUUCUGGCAUGAUUGACAUUUUGGUUAAAUUACUGCACACACUAUGCAGCACAGAGUGAACAGGAACAGGAACAGCUGAGAGGGAUACAGAGGGAGGGAGGAGCUUCAAAGAGAUAAGUGACAGGACUGUCCGUGUAGUUGCUUGACAAAACACGUUAAUGACCUCCAUGUUUAAAGUUCCCUCAGUUAUCUUCUUUCUCCAACGAUCUGCGUCUGUCCGACCUCCCAGAAUGGAUGUGAAGGUGAAAAUAUCAAACCCUCACCUACAGCAGAUAGCAGGAAACUCGAGGAAAGAGAACACAGCCAGCCGGAGAUCUUCAGGCUGAACAUCAGAUCUGUUAAUGGACGACCUGAGAUGGACUCUGCUUUGUUUUCAUUCAGUCACUGAGAAUGGUGCGAUACUGAAGUCAGAAGACGUUUCAUACCUCACAAAUUCAUCACUCAAGAGGUCAGCCCGAACGGCCAAGGCCUCCAGGACAUCAUCCCGGAUCUGUUUCAGGAGCUGACUGUCCUCCGCAAAGGCCUGUGGGUCGGGGUCACGACCUUUGUCCGUGCGAAACUUCAGCAGAACUGUGGAGAUGGAGAGAGACGACGGAGAGAUCUUAAAAAGAGGAAGUAACAUGAACAGGAGGAAAGAAAAAGAACCGUUCAGAGGUCUGGAAACAAGAGUGAGAAACUUUUUUUUUUUUUUCGUGGAGCAAUAUUUUCCAUCCACAGUAAUCUGUUGCAUUAACGCCGUCUGUAGUUUCAUCACGCAUUAUAAGUGACAGCCACACUCAAUUAUCAUGUCGUGGAAAGACGUCUCAUCUUGUCUGCUGCUUUCUUUUCAGACACGAUAAGAUCAGUGUGUGGUUGCACCAUCAACCAUUUUCAUACGUUUAUCCACAUCAAAUUUAAAAAUGUGCAUGUGAAGACUGCUGCACACACACAACCUGUGCAUGUUCAGUGAGGAAACACUCUUUCCUGUGUCGUGCUGCAGGGUCGACUGAGAAAUCAGAAACGUGCACUUUUAUUUGGUCCUGAAGAAGAUUUCAUCAACACCAACAGACUUCUCUAACUCUGCCACACACAUCAACACCUCGCCCCCGUGCUUCCUGUUCGUCCAUUAACUUCAACCGCAAGAGGAAGUCCUCCCACGGCCAUUUCCACCAGAAUGACUGACACACACACACACACACACACACACACACACACACACACACACAAACACACACACAGAGCGAAUUAAAUGAUUAAAACUUAAAGGAAAGUUAAAGGCUGGCACAAAUGGCAUCACAACUCAGUCAAAAAAAUCAAAACAGAGUUUCAUAAGAGGAUCUAAUAACGAGCACAUGGAUGGAACAACGAUCGUAAUCUCCAAACCGACACACCGAGUAGUGACACAUUACAGGAUAAAGUGGAGGCGAUAUAUUCAACAUGGACCCUUUGAUUUCCUCUGCAUGAGAAGGUCAAAUACUUUUGAUGUGAAACAUUAUUUACCCCCAUCUUAAAUGGUGUGGUGGUAUUUUUAAGCACAGGUCAUAUUGCAACAUAAUAGAGAUAAAAGAAAGCACGCACACGCUGGAAAUAAAUUCACCACAAACACUCAUCAUAUCAUGCAAUCAUAUUAUGAAGUCCUCAAAUACUGAUGUACAAGCUGCAAUAUAACAUGUUCAGUGUUUUAUGUGCACUGUGUGUGUGUGUGUGGUACUUUUUACUCCUGAGACUGUAUAAUAUAUACAUGUGCAAUGACUGCAGCUCUGUAAUGACUCUUUGCUGCUGUAAACCCUGAAAAUGACGGGCGACAUCACUCAGGCUUCAAACAUUCAUAUUUACAGUCUAAGAUCAGCUGCAGCUCGCUGACCUCUGAGAGAGGUCGGUCAGGUAACCCCAGGAUGUAAUGAACUGUUCUGAACAGCCCUUCUCAAGGACCCAUAAAGACACUUCUGCCUGCAGGACGAGCUUGAAUUUGCACAAAACUUUAUGUAUGGUGCAUUUCUUCAAUUUAAAGUCAUCGCACAUUUGUACUUACAGUAGCUCAAACAUCGGCUUUAGGAUGGUAAAGUUUGACUUGACUCAAUCAGAUUAAGACGUGUUUUUAUUUCAGAUAUAUUCAGUAGUACUUUAGUCUUACAUACUUGAAUAAAUACAUUUAUCAGUAUAAAUAUG